Molecule: long non-coding RNA, 312 nt
Filed under: Mytilus galloprovincialis (Mediterranean mussel)
Lineage: Eukaryota; Metazoa; Mollusca; Bivalvia; Mytilida; Mytilidae
Source: RNAcentral
CACUAAUGACUGGACCGAAUGACAGGACCGAAUGACAGGACCGAAUGAAAAAUGCUAAUAACUUUUUCAUUUCUCAAAGGAUUGAUCUCAAAUUUGAAAUAUAAUAAGAUUUAAUCAUUUGAUAAAAAGAUUUAAGAAAAAAAAAAGAAAAAAAUUGUAAGAAACUUUAGAAAACGUGACAUGACCAACUCUGAUAAUGACAGGACCAACAUCGAGAAUGACAGGACCAAAUAAAAAUGUUAAUAACUUUUUUAUUUUUCAAAGGAAUUAUCUCAGAUUUGAAAUAUAAAAUGAUAUGUCAUAUUUUGAAAC